CCUACGGGAUGCAGCAGUGGGGAAUAUUGGACAAUGGGCGAAAGCCUGAUCCAGCCAUGCCGCGUGUGUGAAGAAGGCCUUCGGGUUGUAAAGCACUUUCAGUGGGGAAGAAAGCCUUGGGGCUAAUACCCUCGAGGAAGGACAUCACCCACAGAAGAAGCACCGGCUAACUCCGUGCCAGCAGCCGCGGUAAUACGGAGGGUGCGAGCGUUAAUCGGAAUUACUGGGCGUAAAGCGCGCGUAGGCGGUCUGAUAAGCCGGUUGUGAAAGCCCCGGGCUCAACCUGGGAACGGCAUCCGGAACUGUCAGGCUAGAGUGCAGGAGAGGAAGGUAGAAUUCCCGGUGUAGCGGUGAAAUGCGUAGAGAUCGGGAGGAAUACCAGUGGCGAAGGCGGCCUUCUGGACUGACACUGACGCUGAGGUGCGAAAGCGUGGGUAGCAAACAGGAUUAGAUACCGGGUAGUC
This 464-nucleotide ribosomal RNA is filed under the name Vreelandella stevensii. RNAcentral's name for it is "partial 16S ribosomal RNA". It matches the Rfam family "Bacterial small subunit ribosomal RNA", at positions 338 to 795 of the family's 1533-position model. Lineage: Bacteria; Pseudomonadati; Pseudomonadota; Gammaproteobacteria; Oceanospirillales; Halomonadaceae. The record is from RNAcentral.